UAUGACGGUACCCUUUCGAAUAAGAGGUUGCUAACUCUGUGCCAGCAGCAGCGGUAAUACAGAGACCUCGAGCGUUAUCCGGAUUUACUGGGCGUAAAGCGUCUGUAGGGGGUUUGUUAAGUUCCAAGUAAAAUCUUAAGGCUCAACUUUAAGUUCGCUUGGAAAACUAAUAAACUGGAGUCCAGCAGAGGUGCAUGGGAACUUGCGGUGUAGGAGUGAAAUCCGUUGAUAUCGCAAGGAACACCAAAGGCGAAGGCAUUGCACUGGGCUGGUACUGACCCUGAGAGACGAAAGCGUGGGGAGCAAAACGGAUUAGAUACCCGUGUAGUCCACGCCGUAAACGAUGGAUACUAGAUGUUCGGGGAUUCGACCCCCUGGGUGUCACAGCUAACGCGUUAAGUAUCCCGCCUGGGAAGUACGGCCGCAAGGCUAAAACUCAAAGGAAUAGACGGGGAUCCGCACAAGCGGUGGAGCGUCUGGUUUAAUUUGAUAGUAAGCAAUGGACCUCACCAAGGUUUGACAUCCUAUGACAACCCUGGAAACAGGGCUUCCUUCGGGCAUAGUGACAGGUGCUGCAUGGUCGUCGUCAGUUCGUGCCGUGAGGUGUUCCGUUAAGUCGGGAAACGAACGAAACCCUCGUCGCAUGUUACAAAUUUCAUGCGAGACUGCCCGGGUCAACCGGGAGGAAGGCGGGGAUGACGUCAGAUCAGCAUGGCCCUUAUACCUUGGGCUACACAGGCGCUACAAUGGCCGGUACAAAGGGUUGCAAAACCGCGAGGUGAAGCUAAUCCCAUAAAGCCGGUCCAAGUUCGGAUUGGAGGCUGCAACUCGCCUCCAUGAAGUUGGAAUCGCUAGUAAUCGUGGAUCAGCCAUACCACGGUGAAUACGUUCCCGGAUCUUGUACUCACCGCCCGUCACACCAAGAGAGUUGGUAGCUCCUGAAG
This 944-nucleotide ribosomal RNA is filed under the name uncultured organism. RNAcentral describes it as "bacterial SSU rRNA". It matches the Rfam family "Bacterial small subunit ribosomal RNA", at positions 468 to 1426 of the family's 1533-position model. The record is from RNAcentral.